GCGCCUCUCCCUCUACACCUCCCUGCAAGGUGAGGGAGACGGCUCCGGCCUUUGCCAGCCUAGAAAGGGGCUCCCACAGUGCAGGGGCGGGCUGAAGGGCUCCUCAAGUGCGGCCAAAGUGGGAGCCCAGGCAGAGGAGGCGCCAAGAGCGAGCGAGGGCUGUGAGGGCUGCCAGCAGCUGUCACCUGUCAUUACCAUCACUCCUAGUGACCAUUUUGGAUAAUCCACAUUGCCUCAUCAAACCAGAAAACAAUUCAAACCUGGCCUCCUUAUAAGUGGAAGCCACAUUUUAAGAACUUAUUGUGAAGAACUGGAAAGCCUCCAAUAGAACAGAAGCUAAAAGCAGGAAUUAUAAAAGCUGUUACACCUACUCAGCUC
This 378-nucleotide long non-coding RNA is filed under the name Pongo abelii (Sumatran orangutan). Its description in RNAcentral is "lincRNA". The record is from RNAcentral. Lineage: Eukaryota; Metazoa; Chordata; Mammalia; Primates; Hominidae.